GAAAAUAAAAUAUGGCCCAACUCUGGCUUUAGCUGAUAAAUAGCAUCCACCUGCUCACGGGGGUCUCUUUGGCCCUUUUUCGCUUCGAAACUUCGUCAGUGGGGAAGGAGAAGGACGAGGGCCAAACGUGGAUUCUUCACAUUUCAAGAGGCAAAUUGCAACAUUCUUUUGAGACUAAGUUCCCUAAUCGUGUCAAACUUCCUACUACAAAUGCAAGAGACCGAUUUGAUUAUUCGGCCGAUAAGGAGUUCUACCAAUUAACUUUUGAUAUGAUGCUGGCUUGGGAGUCCCCUGGUGUCAAUAUAUUUCAGUGAUUUGCAACAAUGUUAAAAUACAUGUAUAUUAUCUCUAAGAGUGAAAUGAUUGCAUCUUAUGUUAUUAAAGAAAAUUGAGUAUAAAACUUGCAAUACUGAAGAACUUGUAUAUUAUCUCCGAUGGCUGUUCUUAAAGCAAAUUCCUUGGCA
Molecule: non-coding RNA, 464 nt
Organism: Musa acuminata subsp. malaccensis (wild Malaysian banana)
Lineage: Eukaryota; Viridiplantae; Streptophyta; Magnoliopsida; Zingiberales; Musaceae
Source: RefSeq, a predicted model, not a curated record